GGAGACGUAUGUGUCCUGGUGGGCGCCCCGGUCUUCAAAACCGGUGAAGCCAAGUACCUUGGUUUGGCAGGUUCGAUUCCUGUCCGUCUCCGCCA
RNAcentral lists this transfer RNA (95 nucleotides) under Corynebacterium phocae. RNAcentral's name for it is "tRNA-Sec". It matches the Rfam family "Selenocysteine transfer RNA". Lineage: Bacteria; Bacillati; Actinomycetota; Actinomycetes; Mycobacteriales; Corynebacteriaceae. The record is from RNAcentral.